Molecule: ribosomal RNA, 547 nt
Filed under: uncultured crenarchaeote
Lineage: Archaea; Thermoproteati; Thermoproteota
Description: bacterial SSU rRNA
Rfam family: Archaeal small subunit ribosomal RNA
Source: RNAcentral
AUGGGGUGCAGCAGGCGCGGAACCUCCGCAAUACACGAAAGUGUGACGGGGUUACCCAAAGUGUUCUUAUUGAACUGUGGCAGGUGAGUAAUGUCCCCUGCUAGAAAGGAGAGGGCAAGGCUGGUGCCAGCCGCCGCGGUAAAACCAGCUCUUCAAGUGGUCGGGAUAAUUAUUGGGCUUAAAGCGUCCGUAGCCGGUUUAGUAAGUUCCUGGUAAAAUCAGGUAGCUUAACUAUCUGUAUGCUAGGAAUACUGCUAUACUAGAGGGCGGGAGAGGUCUGAGGUACUACAGGGGUAGGGGUGAAAUCUUAUAAUCCUUGUAGGACCACCAGUGGCGAAGGCGUCAGACUGGAACGCGCCUGACGGUGAGGGACGAAAGCCAGGGGAGCGAACCGGAUUAGAUACCCGGGUAGUCCUGGCCGUAAACGAUGCAUACUAGGUGAUGGUACGGCCAUGAGCCGUGUCAGUGCCGUAGGGAAACCGUUGAGUGUGCCGCCUGGGAAGUACGGUCGCAAGGCUAAAACUUAAAGGAAUUGGCGGGGGAGCAC